GACGAACGCUGGCGGCGUGCUUAACACAUGCAAGUCGAACGGAAAGGCCUCUUUCGGGGGGUACUCGAGUGGCGAACGGGUGAGUAACACGUGAGUAACCUGCCCUUGACUUUGGGAUAACUUCAGGAAACUGGGGCUAAUACCGGAUAGGAGCUCCUGCUGCAUGGUGGGGGUUGGAAAGUUUCGGCGGUUGGGGAUGGACUCGCGGCUUAUCAGCUUGUUGGUGGGGGAGUGGCUUACCAAGGCUUUGACGGGUAGCCGGCCUGAGAGGGUGACCGGCCACAUUGGGACUGAGAUUCGGCCCAGACUCCUACGGGAGGCAGCAGUGGGGAAUAUUGCACAAUGGGUGGAAGCCUGAUGCAGCAACGCCGUGUGCGGGAUGACGGCCUUCGGGUUGUAAACCGCUUUCGCUCAUGACGAAGCUUUGUGUGACGGUAGUGGGUAAAGAAGCACCGGCUAACUACGUG
Molecule: ribosomal RNA, 467 nt
Filed under: uncultured bacterium
Lineage: Bacteria
Description: partial 16S ribosomal RNA
Rfam family: Bacterial small subunit ribosomal RNA
Source: RNAcentral